GUCUGUUGAGUGAUCAUGAAAUCAGCGAAAAUGCUGACUUGAAACGGUGUAAGAGUACCACUAAACGCAGAGGUCAGAAAGCAACAUCAUCGAUUAAGAAGAAAAUCCCCACACGUGGAGACUUUAAACUAUAGCGAGGACGUCCAUGGCUAUAUGAAUCCCAUGAUUUGGUGAACAUGUAUGGUGAUGAGAUUCUUACGUGCUUGGAGGUGGCAUUUAGGCUAACAUCGGAAAUGGUUUUCAUGGGGAGUGAGUUGGCUAUUGUUGUCUAUAUCUUUGGAGCUGAUUAUGACCCCAAGUAGGUCACUUCUAAUGAUUUUGAAGAUUUGGAAUCAAACGCUUAUUUCAUGAGAUAUAACCUAUGAUUUUGUUAUUAAUAGAGAGAUUCUUGUGCCUAAUGAAUAUUGUUGUGGAAGCCGGGAAGCAUUGAUGACCCUUUAUCCGAAAAAUCAGGUUGGAGAUAACGUAAGUCAUGAAGUAAUUCAUGUGAUAUACCUUUUUAACUCUGUUGAAUUUGAUUGAUG
Molecule: non-coding RNA, 524 nt
Organism: Arachis ipaensis
Lineage: Eukaryota; Viridiplantae; Streptophyta; Magnoliopsida; Fabales; Fabaceae
Source: RefSeq, a predicted model, not a curated record